RNAcentral lists this long non-coding RNA (12643 nucleotides) under Fragaria vesca (wild strawberry). Its description in RNAcentral is "long non-coding RNA (FVES_LNC001113)". The record is from RNAcentral. Lineage: Eukaryota; Viridiplantae; Streptophyta; Magnoliopsida; Rosales; Rosaceae.
AUCGAUCGAGCUGGAAGCAGCUUUCCCACAAAGUACAGUAGCAGGUCAAGGCAGGUAUACAGACAUGAUCGAUUUUACAUGAUGGCGCACGCUUGGGGAUUUUCUUCACCGAAACAAUCGGGGCGUGUCAUGCAGUAACUACUAGUGGCAUAGCUCCUCCCACCGCCGUAACUAUCAUACACUGGCCCACCGUAACCAUACCCAGUUUGGCAGGGACCACCCGGAUGCCCUCCGUAACAAUCCAUACAACACUCGCUCACCGUCACCGGAGGGUAAGCCGGAACCAGAAACAGAACCGGCUCUUCCUUCGGCUUCUCUGCCUUCUUGGGUUCGUCUUUAGGCCUUUCAGCCUCCUUCGGUGUCCCUUUAGGCUUGUCAGCAUCUAUUGGUUUCUUUUUAGGCUCCUCUUUCUUCUUCUCCUCUGGUUUCGCUUUAGGCUUCUCCUCCUUUGGUUUCUCUUUGGGCUUCUCGGGCUCUUUGAUGUCGAUGCUCUUGAUGGCGCCACCUCCUUUGCAGCAUAGCUUGUCUCUGAUCUUCUCAGGACUGCAGCAGACCACCUUGAUGAUCACCUGGUUGUUCUUCUCGUCGUACGUCUGGUCUCGUAUUUCUCUUGUUCACAAAAUCCAACCAAUACCAGAAACCACACUCAAUUUACGUUUUUUUGUUUUCUCUGCUAAAAUACACAACGUACCAGAAUGGAAGAGAAAAGAAGAAACUCACGAGGGAAUUUACAGAGAACUUUCUUAACCUUCUUGUAGCAUUUUUCACACUGAAGGUCCACCUUCAGAACCAUUAUCGUCACCUGAUGACAUUAAUACAAUCAUUUUUGCAGAAAUUAGAUAGGUAUAGAGAAUGGUUAAUUACUUCUUCUUCUUUUUUAUGUAGAAGAAGAAGUGAGUAAUUAAGAAUGGAUCGAAGAUGAUUUGAAGAUCGAUGAGGAAUCGAAUCGAUCUCUGUGUUUCUGACAGAAGAAUGAUGAGUCGGGUAUAGGCGACAAAUUGAAGAAGAAAGAGCCAAAAGCUUGAGAAUUAAAAAGUGAGGAGCAGCAGCCACAAAAAAUAAAAAUUGAGAGGAGCAGAUUUGAUGCAAUGGGCAAUCAAUCUACUUAUCUAUAUGAUGAGGAAAAAGAGCUGGAAAAGCAUAAACAACUUUCUAGUAGCUAAUGUUAAGAAAGAAAUACCUUUUUUUCCCCCAUUGUUGCAGCAGUGAGAUGGGAUCUGAUGUUCUUUGUGAACGGAACCUCCCAGCUAAAAUGAUUGAAUAGGACGGGAGUCAGUGACCCGAGUUGGCAUAUAAAUUGAGCAGCUGGCGGNNNNNNNNNNNNNNNNNNNNNNNNNNNNNNNNNNNNNNNNNNNNNNNNNNNNNNNNNNNNNNNNNNNNNNNNNNNNNNNNNNNNNNNNNNNNNNNNNNNNNNNNNNNNNNNNNNNNNNNNNNNNNNNNNNNNNNNNNNNCUCUCUCUCUCUCUCUCUCUCUCUCUCUCUCUGAUCUGAAACUUUUCCUCUCUCUCUUUCACCGAUGCCACCCUCCUUCGCCGAUGCCAUCCCACCCGCCGCUUCAUCUCCGGCUCCGACGAGGUCCGGGAGCUGCCGGAAAACGACUGCAAGAUCUGAACGAUCGCAUCCACCAAGACCCGAGGGGCCGGGCUCGUCAUUCUCAUCGACGACAUCCACUUCGGUCAAGUCCAGUGAGCCCGUCGUUGUCGCCGCCGUCGGUCAACAUCUGCACCGUUUCACAUUGGCGCUGCCUCGAGGAUCCGCGACCGAGAUGUUACCAUCGAGAUAGGACGACUCCGGAGAAGCGUUGCGCUACUACGAGUCCGAAGAGCAGCGUUCUGGUCGUUCUCCAACGUCGUCUGCACACCGUCGCUUGGAAACGUCGAUGCGAGCUGAGCUUGACGAGGCCGACGAAGAUGGAGUCGGGAGGGAAGGUGGAGGCGGCGCCAGGGAGAGGAGGCUUGGUGUUGGUGGAUUUGGAGCGGAGGAGCUCGGUGAGGACGGUCAGGAUGCGCUUGGAGUCCACGUGGACGGUGAAGAGGUUGGGGACGUUGGCGGGGUAGGCGCGGAUGACCUCCGGCUGAUCAAUCUCCUCGAUUGAAAUCCCUCAAAACUUAGGCAGGUGCAUGGCUUUGACUAGUUUUUCUCUCUAUUUUUAUGAGAUGAGAAUUUGAGAAAAGAGGAAGGGUGAAUAGGAAAAGGGACGGUGGAAUAUUGAACGUUGACGAUGUUUAUUAGUCCAGUUGUUUUGUUUUCUGAGUCCUUUCGAACUUAAAAAUGUAUGUUUAAAAUGAUUAUUGACUGACAGUAACUGAUUAUUGGGGGUCAGUAACUGAUUAUGUUCUAAUAUUUCUUUUUUCUAGUAUUAUUAAGCUGAAAUAAGUUGAUUAUUGGGGGUCAGUAAUUGAUUAUUAGAGGUUAGUAACACGAUUAUUAGGGGUCAGUAACUGGUUAUUGGGGUCAGUAACUGGUUACUGGGUGUCAGUAACUAACUGGUUACUGGGUGUCAGUAACUGGUUAUUAGGUGUCAGUAACUGGUUACUAGGUGUCAGUAACUGGUCAGUUAGUGGUUACUGGGUGUCAGUAACUAGUUAUUGGGGGUUAGUAACUGAUUAUUAUGAGUCAUUAACUUGUCAGUAACUGGUUAUUGGGAGUCAGUAACUAGUUACAGGGGAAAUUCCGGAGUCCGGCGAUCGAGGAAAUUCUGGUGACCGGAGUCCGGCGGUCGGGGAAAUUCCAGUGACCGGAGUCCGGCGGCCGGUGACCAGAGUCCGGUGAGAUUCCGGCCAAGUAUUCUCUCUUUUAUUUUCUCUCUCUAUGCAUAUGUAAGAGGUGAGGGCAAAAUAGUCUUAAAAUAAUAUGGUUAAUUUGUUAAGACUUUAGUAAAUAUUUGUGUAUUUUGGCAUAAAGAUUUGUGCAUUUGGACAUAAAAAAAUGCAUCUUAUAUUGAAAUGGGCUAAUGAAAAAGAUUUUCAUUGGAAUAAAAAUAAAAAUUUAAAUUAGUACUAAAUUGACAUUCUAAUGCAAUAGAAUGGUCUGAAUGUGGAGGAUGGACCAAAUUAAUACCGCAGUAAUAUGAUUAGGGUGUCAUUCACCCGGCCACAUCUUGUUGUUUUCGAUUCAAGUAUCAAGCACCCACAUGGCACAUGGAGCAUCCCACAACUGUCCCCGGCGCUAGUAGUUGCCACCGUCCAUCUUCGGACUAGCAAAUUGUUAUGGAUCAUUCUCCUUACCAUGAUCCACGACGUAUUACCAAGAAUACAUGAUAAGCCAUUGUUUCCCCCUUUCUUUUGCGUCUGUGACUAUCAGGACCGGGAGAGAUGAGGUUUAUUGGUCUAUGGUGUGGUGAGGGUACGGUACAUGGUUCGUUAUGGUGUUUCCUGCCUAUCCACCGUUGCAUAUGUGCGAUCGGCGUAUGAAUUUAGGUUAUAUAUAUAUAUAUUUUUUUUUUUCAUUUUAAAUGGUGGGCCUCGCAGCCAACAAAUGCCCGUCACACAUUAACCGUUAGCCCUGUAUGGUCUCCGCCUGGCCCAUAUAAAUAAUUUGUUUUUUAUAUUCUUUUUCUUUCUUUUUUAAAUGGUGGACCCCGCAUUUUGCGUGUAGCGAACCGCCUAGCCCCAAAUGAUCUCCGCCUAAUCCAUAUAAAUUAUUUUUCGUUUAUAUUUUUUUUCCUCUUAAAAUCUGGGAAGAAACCUUUAGCGGCCUUACUGUUGUUGUUGCACAGCCGACUUCUCCGUCUCCGCCACGUAAUUGGACUACGGCCAUGGUCAUAUGUCUAAACUUAACAUGUAUGUGUUGAAUUGAAGUUUCUGAGUCAGAAGGCUGUUAGAGUCAUCGAUUGCAGGUAUAUAUGGUAUAUUAUUGCCGUAUAUAUAUUGGUUGAUUGUUUAGUUUCCGAGUUGUUGUUAAGGAUCGGGUUAAAAAGAUUGAGCAUUAUAUUAUAGCUAUUUAUAGCUAUAAACAGCACAUUGCAUAUCCAUUGAUGAAUUUAUGUUAGUGAUGCAUGUUGGAAUGAAAACUGAUCGGUGUUGGCUAGUUUGGAAUGAAAACUGAUUUGGUGUUAGCAAGUUUCAAUUGAAUAAAGUUUGAAUUGCAUUUUGUAUAUUCUAGAUUAAGUUAUUAAUUGUCGCUUCUGCAUGUUGGUUUUAUUCUUGUUUUAGGACAUUUUAAUCAGGUUUCAUUUUUUGUAUAUGUUACUAUUGAAUUUGUUGUGCUAGGUUUCUUGGUUCUACUUGCUGAUGAUGAAGUUUAGGUCCUGGCAAAGUUGAUAAUUUUGUAAGCUUGUAGGUGUUUUGCCUUGUGUCAUGGUCCAUUACGAAGGGUGAUGAUCCUGCAAAUGCAGCCUUCUCGGAAGUAAGUUAAUCUCAUGAAAUUAUCUCAUCUUUUUAAUCCUUGUCAGAGCUCUAUACAUUUUUUGGUUUAAGCAUACCAGCUUGUGUUUCAAGUCAAAUUUAUUGUUUGAGAUUCAUAUCUUUUGUUUAGUCUCUGUUGUUUUACUUUUAUUCGUCUCUUUGUCCAAUUGUUAUAAGAUCCGAAAACGUUAUAUAAGAUACUAGAUUGAGAAUGUUCCAAGUUCUAAAACACCACAUAAUGUUUCGUUUCGUGCAAAGGGACCUGAGACUGGAAGUCAAGUACCAUAUGGCCUUGCAGGGGAGAGUAGUCUGGUUAAACGUGAUUGACCCAGAUUUCACUGAAAUUCUUAGGAAUGACUAGAAUCUAGUUAAACAUGCAGUUGCCCCGUUGCCCUCAUGGACCUUGUGAGAAUGUGAGUGAAAGCAGCUUCCAGUGUUCCAUUUGAGCCAUAAGUUGGGCCUUUCUGCAACGGUCACCUUGGAGGACCAUUAAGGAACCAAACAAGUGGAUCGGCCCAUUUAUGAUCUUAGCCCUAGUCUAAGCAAGAACAAUAAGAGAGAGACUUGCAUGUCAAACUAUUCACUUCUUUCAUACAUGUAUGCAUAGGAAGUAAGUAAUGGCAAACAGAUGGUAUUAUGUAGGUGAUUGUAAAUCGAACAUAAACAUAUGGUUCCAUUCAAACCGAAGGAAUAUAAUGUACAACUUUUAGUGGGCUAAUUAACACGCAUAUCAAAGUUGCUUCUCUAGCUAGUAAAAGAACUAAGAACAACGUACCCUUAUUAUACUACUCAACAGUCGUUCAUAAAUUAAACAAACUCCAGAUUUUGAGUAAUAGAAAAUGGAGUUGCAUUGGACUUGUCCUACUUCUUUGUCGGCAAUAGACGGUGUGUAUGAGUGCAAUCGCAGCAGCAUCGAAUAUUUUAACUAGUUUGUAGGCUUGGGGAUCGUUCUUUCAUGUGAAUCAAUCACACAUAUAGUUGACCUAAUUUCAUACUCGCCCACUUUUUAUACUUAGAUGCAUCCAUCGCAUGGAGAUCGAGUUGGAGACCUAGCUAGCUAGCUCAUCUUAAUUAUUGGUACCAAAUUCUUCCAACAAAUGGACAAAUAAUUCAAAAAAAUAUAUGCAUAUGUGCACAGGACAAAAUUCAUAUGCAAUUUGAUGGAACUUUUAUUUCAUUAAUGGAAUAAAGAUUGUAACAACUUCUUCUUCUUCUUCUUCUUGUAGCUAGCUCUAUAAUGGAUGGCUGGCAUGGCUAACCUGAUCGUGACAUAUCCACCACCAUCACCAUUGAUCACCAACCAUGCUUUAUUAUUUUACUUUUGUUCUAUAUAUAAAAAACAACACCAACUUUAACGUACACUGUAAAAAUGGAGACACCGAUCGAUCGAGCUGGAAGCAGUUUUCCCACAAAGUAUAGUAGAAGGUCAAGGCAGGUAUACAGAUAUGAUCGAUUUUACAUGAUGGCGCACGCUUGGGGAUUUUCUUCACUGAAACAAUCAGGGCGUGUCACGCAGUAACUACUAGUGGCGUAGCUCCUCCCACCGCCGUAACUAUCGUACACUGGCCUUCCAUAGUAGCCGUCGUACUGUAUGUAUGGUGCUGCCCCACCGUAACCGUACCCAGUUUGGCAGGGACCACCCGGAUGCCCUCCGUAACAUUCCAUACAACACGCGUUCACCGUCACCGGAGGGUAAGCAGUAACCGGAGGCUGAGUAGGCUGAGAAGGCUUCGGCUUCUCUGCGUCCUUGGGUUUCUCUUUAGGUUUUUCAGCCUCUUUAGGUUUCUCAGCCUCCUUUGGUUUCUCAGCCUCUUUUGGUUUCUCUUUAGGCUUUUCAGCCUCUUUAGGUUUCUCAGCCUCCUUUGGUUUCUCUUUAGGCUUCUCAGCCUCCUUUGGUUUCUCUUUAGGCUUCUCAGGCUCCUUGGGCUUGGGCUUCUCGGGCGGCAAGAUGUCGAUGCUCUUGAUGGCGCCACCUCCUUUGCAGCAUAGCUUGUCUCUGAUCUUCUCAGGACUGCAGCAGACCACCUUGAUGAUCACCUGGUUGUUCUUCUCGUCGUACGCCUGGUCUCGUAUUUCUCUUGUUCACAAAAUCCAACCAAUACCAGAAACCACACUCAAUUUACGUUUUUUUGUUUUCUCUGCUAAAAUACACAACGUACCAGAAUGGAAGAGAAAAGAAGAGACUCACGAGGGAAUUUACACAGAACUUUCUUAACCUUCUUGUAGCAUUUUUCACACUGAAGGUCCACCUUCAGAACCAUUAUCGUCACCUGAUGACAUUAAUACAAUCAUUUUUGCAGAAAUUAGAUAGGUAUAGAAUGGUUAAUUACUUCUUCUUCUUCUUCUUCUUUUUUUCUGCAGAAGAAGAAGUGAGUAAUUAAGAAUGGAUCGAAGAUGAUUUGAAGAUGGAUGAGGAAUUUUAUCCAUCAGGUUCUGUGUUUCUGACAGAAGAAUGAUGAGUCGGUUAUAGGCGACAAAUUGAAGAAGAAAGAGCCAAAAGCUUGAGAAUUAAAAAGUGAGGAGCAGCAGCCACAAAAAAUAAAAAUUGAGAGGAGCAGAUUUGAUGCAAUGGGCAAUCAAUCUACUUAUCUAUAUGAUGAGGAAAAAGAGCUGGAAAAGCAUAAACAACUUUCUAGUAGCUAAUGUUAAGAGAGAAAUACCUUUUUUUCCCCCAUUGUUGCAGCAGUGAGAUGGGAUCUGAUGUUCUUUGUGAACGGAACCUUCCCAGCUAAAAUGAUUGAAUAGGACGGGAGUCAGUGACCCGAGUUGGCAUAUAAAUUGAGCAGNNNNNNNNNNNNNNNNNNNNNNNNNNNNNNNNNNNNNNNNNNNNNNNNNNNNNNNNNNNNNNNNNNNNNNNNNNNNNNNNNNNNNNNNNNNNNNNNNNNNNNNNNNNNNNNNNNNNNNNNNNNNNNNNNNNNNNNNNNNNNNNNNNNNNNNNNNNNNNNNNNNNNNNNNNNNNNNNNNNNNNNNNNNNNNNNNNNNNNNNNNNNNNNNNNNNNNNNNNNNNNNNNNNNNNNNNNNNNNNNNNNNNNNNNNNNNNNNNNNNNNNNNNNNNNNNNNNNNNNNNNNNNNNNNNNNNNNNNNNNNNNNNNNNNNNNNNNNNNNNNNNNNNNNNNNNNNNNNUUUUUUUUUUUGGUCAAGAAAAAAAAAAGGGAACCAUUUAGCAAUGUUGACAUAUGCAUGGAGGUGAAACUUUCAAAAACCGCGGGCUCCAGAUAUUGACGAUUGCACGUUUCUUACACCCAGGGUCUUCGAUCUAUUACAUCUUCAUCAUGGAAAAUUAAAUUAUUAUGUUACGUACAUACAUGGAUAUGUGAUGUGGGAGUGGUUCUAAAAAUAACUAUUUAGUUGAAUAUUUUUUUAUUAAUAGUUUAUUACAUAUAUUUUUCAAUUAAUUUUUUAUCUCAACCGUUUAGUUUUUAAUAGAUCAUUUUUUUAAAUUUUCAACCAAAUUUUUGAUCGUUAAGGAAUCGAACUUAAUCAAAUCAAUUGACGAUCCUUAUCUAUUAAAUAUGAGUCGUUCAAGUUUAUAAUCGGUAAAUCACAUUUAUGAAUAUCUCAACGAUUUUAAAUUUAGAUAAAAAUUUAUAGAGAUGAUAUUUUCAUAUAUAUUUACAAAUUAGGCGGUCGAGAUGUGAACAUGUGAUUGAAAACGGAGUGAAACAAAGAAAUUUUCAAUUAGUCUUCAACUUAGUGGUCCUCGUUAGAACCACUCUCAUGUGAUACAAACAUACUUUAUUACGAGGCAAAAUUUUCCUAUCACACCAUCACCACCCUACUAGCACAUGUUCUUUUUUUCUUAGUUGUAUGUAUCAUAUACCUAUAACCUAUCUUCAUAGUAGAUAAUCCCCUUCAUCAUACAUACACGUGUUGUGUUUACACAGCUAUAUUCAAAAACUUAAUUUUAAGAUUAACCUCAUCGUCAUUCUAAUUUAAAAAUAAUAUUAUGAAAUAGCAUGUGAUCGACCUUUGGCUCUUUACUGAUGAUUGUAUUUGUGUGACUGUCUCCUCAAUUUGAUUCUUCGUCCCAUAAAAAUAAUAUAUAAGCGUAAUUAGUCUUUGUACGUAGUAUCAUCGAUCUUAUACGUACAUGGCCAUGCAUUUAUCCGUUGUAAUAUCACUGGUUAUUUGUUGAUGAGCAGACUAUAUGAUAGGUAGCUAUGUAGCAAAUUACUCAAUUCCGAGCACAAAAAUACAGCAAUCAAUUGUUUGUCUUGAUCGGUAGUCUCACUCAAUCACAUACGUAAGUGACCGGAUCACUCAUGCAUGACUCAGCUAGACCUAGAGCUGGAGGGUGGUGUCUUCAUAAGAAGUUGAAAUCUGUGAACACAGCCAUCGAAUAAAUUCAACAAAGUCCUCAGUAGUGGGCAUCGGACAACAACCUUACGCAACUUAGGCUCCAUCGAUCUCAUCAUAUAUGCUUUACAAAUAUUUCUUCUGCCGACAAUUUCACACAUUUUACAAGCCCAUAUGCCAGUCUUCUUAAAUAUAACCAAGAUAUGCCUUCCACUUAGCCCAAUGCAAUGGACCUAAUAUUAAGCCCACGCUAUAUAUGCACAAUCCGGGCCUCCCAUCUAUUCUGUACGGGAAUUAUGAUCGGUACGGUGAGUUUGAGACUCUGACCAGCAUCGUCGACGAUCCAAUGACUCGAUUCAUACACCAUUCAUGUACAAAAAACGAUACGAGUCUAUAACCAAUUUUUCAUCGAGUUUAUUGAGGCUACUGUGCACUUUGAACUCUGCACGACUCAUGCAUCUUCAAUCAUGUACGUGUAGCUAACUGAACCUGAAUCAAAUUCACACUCUUUAAAAUUAGUACUAAAUGAACAUACCUGUUCUCUUCAUUACAUAUCAGUGUAGCCGAUAUCAGCACACAUAGACAAAAGGGUGUUAUAGAGAAUUACAUUCAACUCCAUUCCCUUCUCCUUCAUCUCCUUGGCAAAGAGCCCUUGCUGAUCAUCUCUCGGUAAAUUUUCUUGGCCUGCCAAGGCCUCUUAGCUCUUCCCAUAGAAUCCAACAAAGUAUUAUAAAUAACCAUGUUCGGCUUAACCCAAAUUGCCUUCAUUUCCUCGUAAACUUUCAAGCACCCAUCAUAAUUCCCUGAUUGCCCGUGAAUCUUAAUCAACGUUGCAAAUGUCACUGGAUCAAUGCGCCAUUUCUCUGUCCUAGCGCAGUCAUACAAGCUAAAAGCCUUGUCAACAUUACCGGCACGGCCAUAUGCAUCGAUCAUAGCCGAAUAGGUAACAUCAUCAGGACUACACCCGUAACUAGGCAUCUUCUCAAACCACUCCACAGCCUUAUCAGGCAGAUAACACAUCCUAGCACAGCUAAUCAUAGUCGAAAACGUAACAUUAUCAGGUGUAACACCUCUCUCAAGCAUCUCAUUAAACAGCUUCUCUGCUCUCACUAAAUCCUUACACUUUCUAAACACUUUCAAUGUCACAUUGUAGAGAACCACUUCCCUCUUAGGUUUGAACAUGUGCUGAAAGUACUUUAGAGCAAGUAACGCAUUUUCGGGGUUACCAUGGUAUUAAGAACAACGACAGCAUCUUGUUCCAAAACCCCAUCACCUAAAGUCUUUAAAAUAUCAAAAACAUCACUUUCACUUAGGCAGACAGAGUUCAAGGACUCAGCUACUUUGACUAAAGAAGUGUACCUGGAAUCGUAGGACUUGUUCCUAAGAUGAGAAGCCCUGGGGCUGCUGGGAUUGACCCAAACAUAGCUUUUGGAGGAAGACUCGGAAUUUCCAUCGGGGUUUUCAGUUUUUGGGGUUUCUUGUAAAGAAACAUGGUUUAUUUGGAGAGAAAUUGUGGAGUGAAGAGUAGGGAAGGUGAGAUUGAAGGUGUGAGUAUCAGAGGUGGUUGGCCUGAGCUUUCUAGAGGAGGAGAGAGAGUGAGAGAGAAAGAGAGACGAGGGUGUGGAGGAUACAUGAUAAGCCAUUGUUUCCCUCUUUGUUUUGCGUCUGUGACUAUCAGGACCGAAGAGAGAGAUGAGGUUUAAUGGUCUCUGGUGUGGUGAGGGUACAUGGUUCGUUAUGGUGUUUCCUGCUUCUCCACCGUUGGAUAUAUGGGAUCGGCGUAUGAUUUUAGUUUAUAUUUGUUUUUUUUUUUCGUUUUAAAUGGUGGAUCUCGCAGCCCACAAAGGGCCGCCACACGUGGACCGCCUAGCCCUGUUUUGUCUCCGCCUAGCCCAUAGAAAUUAUUUUUUCUUUUGUAUUUUCUUUUUCUUUUUUUUAAAUCAUGGACCCCGUAUUCUGUUAAGGCCCGCUACACGUGGACCGCCUAGCGCCAUAUGGUCUCAGCCUAGCCCAUAUAAAUUACUUUUCUUUUAUAUUUUUUUUCCUCUAAAAAUCUGGGAUGAAACCUUUGGCGGCCUUGUUGUUGUUGUGUAGCCGACUUCUCCGUCUCCGCCGCGUAAUUGGACGGCAACCAUAGUCAUCUGUCUAAACAUAACAUGUAUGUGCCGAAUUGAGGUUUCUGAGUCGGAAGGUUGUUAGUCAUCGAUUGCAGGUAUAUAUGGUAUAUUACUGCCGUAUGUAUAUUGAUUGAUUUGUUUAGUUUCCGAGUUGAUUGUCAUGGAUUGGGUUAAAAAAGUUGAGCAUUAUAUUAUAGCUAUUUAUAGCUAUAAACAACACAUUGCAUAUCCAUUGAUGCAUAUAUGUUAGUGAUGUUUGAAUGAAAACUGAUUCGGUGUCGGCAAGUUUAUAAUGAAAACUGAUUUGGUGUUAGCAAGUUUCAGUUGAAUAAAGUUUGAAUUGCAUUUUGUAUAUUAUAGAUUAAGUUAUUAGUAGUCGCUUAUGCGUAUUGGUUUUAUUCUUGUUUUUGGUUUAAUCAGGUUUCAUUUUCUGUAUAUGUUACUAUUGAAUUUGUUGUGCUAGCAGGUUUCUUGGUUCUACUUGCUGAUGAUGAAGUUUAGGUAGCUGAUAAUUUUGUAAGCUUGUAGGUGUUUUGCCUUGUGUCAUGGUCCGCUGCGGAGGGUGGAUGAUCCAGCAAAUGCAGCCUGCUUGGAAGUAAGUUAAUCUCAUGAAAUUAUCUCAUGUUUUUAAUCUUUGUUAGAGCUCUAUACAUUUUUUUGUUUGAGCAUACCAGUUUCUGUGUCAAGUCAAGUUUACUGCUUGGGAUUCAGAUCUUCUAUUUAGUCUCUGUUGUUUUACUUUUAUUCGUCUCUUUGUCCAAUUGUUAUAAGAUAAAAAAAUAAAAAAAGGUUAUAUAAGAUGCUAGAUUGAGAAUGUCCCAAGUUCUAAAACACCACAUAAUGUUUCGUUUUGUACAAAAGGACCUGAAACACUGAAGGAAGAUGGUACGUAACUUAUUGUUCCUGGAAUCCAUAACUUUACAUCAACAACUUAUUGUUCCUGUAACAACUUAUUCUUCUUCUUGUACCUCUAUAAUGGAUGGCUGGCACCGUGGCGUAGCUAGCUAGGGGUCAAACGGUUCAAUUGAACCCUCUCAGAUUUUGAAAAAGCUUAAUUAGCUAGCCUUAAUGAACAAACAUAAAUUGACAUUUCUUCUUUGAGAAAUCCUUAAUUAAUCUUAAAUAUUCUUCAACACCAAUAGAAUGAAAUAAAAAUUUAUACUAUUAAAAUACUUAAUCUAAUUAAUACAAAUCAUGUAAAUAGUUUCUUACCUUACUAACGUGUACUUUAAUGCUUUGAAUUCCAUUUACGAUUUUUUUUUUCAUUACAAAUAAGCUAAAUGGAAGCAACACAUUAAUGUUUACUAUGCAUUGACACUAUCUCUAGAAAAAGAAAAGGCAACAUAUUUUUCUCAAUAUUUAUCGUGCAUGAAAUUUCAAAAUUUAUUUAAGAUGAUUAUCGUGCUAGCUAGAGAGUGAUUGAAAAUAAAUUUAAUUUAUUAGGUAAUAAAUUUUGACCAUUCUAAAUAACAUUUCUAGCUACGCCACAGAGGGACGGCUACCUGAUCGUGACAUAUCCACCACCAUCACCAUUGAUCACCAACCAUACUUUAUUAUUUACUUUUGUUCUAUAUAUAAAAAACAACACCAACUUUAAAAAACAACACCAACCUUAAAAAUAGAGAUCGGUCGAGCUGGAAGCAGCUUUCCCACAAAGUACAAUAGCAGGUCAAGGCAGGUAGACAGACAUGAUCGAUUUUACAUGAUGGCGCACGCUUGGGGAUUUUCUUCACUGAAACAAUCGGGGCGUGUCACGCAGUAACUACUAGUGGAGUAGCUCCUCCCACCGCCGUAACUAUCAUACACUGGCCUUCCAUAGUAGCCAUCGUACUCUAUGUAUGGUGCUGCCCCACCGUAACCGUACCCAGUUUGGCAAGGACCACCC